Molecule: non-coding RNA, 72 nt
Organism: Bos taurus (domestic cattle)
Lineage: Eukaryota; Metazoa; Chordata; Mammalia; Artiodactyla; Bovidae
Source: Rfam
UCCCUGGUGGCUCAGAUGGUAGAGCAUCUGUCUACAAUGUGAGAGACCUGGGUUCAAUCCCUGGUUUGGGAA